UACGAAGGGGGCUAGCGUUGUUCGGAAUUACUGGGCGUAAAGCGCACGUAGGCGGGUCGUUAAGUCAGGGGUGAAAUGCCAGAGCUCAACUCUGGAACUGCCUUUGAUACUGGAGACCUCGAGGCCGGAAGAGGUUAGUGGAAUUCCCAGUGUAGAGGUGAAAUUCGUAGAUAUUGGGAAGAACACCAGUGGCGAAGGCGGCUAACUG
This 208-nucleotide ribosomal RNA is filed under the name uncultured bacterium. RNAcentral describes it as "partial 16S ribosomal RNA". It matches the Rfam family "Bacterial small subunit ribosomal RNA", at positions 524 to 731 of the family's 1533-position model. The record is from RNAcentral.